Molecule: long non-coding RNA, 166 nt
Organism: Alosa sapidissima (American shad)
Lineage: Eukaryota; Metazoa; Chordata; Actinopteri; Clupeiformes; Clupeidae
Exons: 3
Source: RefSeq, a predicted model, not a curated record
GAGGAAAAGAAUCUUGAAUUUGACCUAGCGUUUAUGGCUGGUCGACACAACAGACGCUCAUCAGAAGACCACAGUGGGCGGUUUGGGAUAUACAUCUUGAUCAUUGAAUUAAGAUAACAGGGAGCAGAUCUAGUCAGUGUCCUAAAGGCCAAAAUGAGAGAUUUUG